CCCUGUGGCCUUGUACUUGUGUUCUCUCUGCACUCGCUUUUCCCUAGAUACUUCCAUGAUCCUCAACAUUGUCCACAUACUGUGCAUCUCAAGUCCAAUCCAAGACCUGGCACCAUUGAUCCUGAGACCAGCCCAUGUCAGAGGAGGAGUUGACACUACCAAGAUCACAGAAAGAUAUGGACGGCCAAACUAGAUAUUAGAAGAUGAUGAAGCAAUUUCUAUGGAAUUUUGAAAGAAAAAGUUGUGUUCAAGAUAUUUAUACCCAGUCAAAUCGACAGAAAGAUCUCCUCAGCUAUGUACAGGUCGCAUUUUGCCUCAGUGGAAAGGAAUGGAUCGGUUAAUAUAAAUGAUGUUAGGAUGAUUGAAUAUUCAUGAAAUACAUAAAUUUAGAUCACUAUCUCAUAAAAAUUACUCAAUUCUGCGUAGACUGAAGACAGGAAAAAACAAAAGAAAGCAUAUUAGGAUUAGAAAAAUAAUAAAUAUUUACUUGACUGUAGAAUAGGAAAAACCUUUUAAGCAUUUAAACAAGAGAAAAUAGCACAGAGGAAAAUAUUGAUAGAUAUAACUAAAUAAAAAAACACUACAAUGCUCUCCAAACUCCAUAAACAAGUUAAAAUGCUAAAUAUAACCCAAAGAAAUAUUUCUUGUAUAAAUGGCAAAUGGUUAAAGCAAGAAAAAUAAAGCUACAAUAAGAAAGCAGGCAAAUAACAUUAAAUAUAUAAUUUUAAAAUAUGAAGUUGAUAGGUCCA
RNAcentral lists this long non-coding RNA (749 nucleotides) under Dasypus novemcinctus (nine-banded armadillo). RNAcentral describes it as "lncRNA (ENSDNOG00000052457.1)". Lineage: Eukaryota; Metazoa; Chordata; Mammalia; Cingulata; Dasypodidae. The record is from RNAcentral.